This is a long non-coding RNA of Xenia sp. Carnegie-2017, 388 nucleotides long. RefSeq lists it as uncharacterized. NCBI's taxonomy places the organism in Eukaryota, Metazoa, Cnidaria, Anthozoa, Malacalcyonacea, Xeniidae. The record is from RefSeq and is a predicted model, not a curated record. The transcript has 3 exons.
CCACAUGACAGGCUCGCGUCAUCAUUCUUGGUCAUGUGACAUCCAGAAAAAUUGAAGCUUUCGAUCGGCUAGUAAAGUGAGAAGAGUUGAAAACUUAUAAACACACUUCUUGAGUUCAUCGUUUUAAUUCUACUUUACAAACGAUCACAGAACACUCACCAAUAACUGUGCAAAAAGUUCACGACUUUUAUUUGUAUUCGUUCAGGCAACGAGCAGAGAGGUUCAGGAUUUGAUCGAUGCUGGCAAAUCUUUCCAGAGAGUUUCCCAGUGCGUGCAUUUCAACAUAUUAUACAAAUGACAGCAUCCGCGUCGUGUGAUUUGAAUAAAUCAGAAAAUUUGUCAUCAAUCUGUGAGGCUUUUGAAGACUUCCACCUCGACCAAUCUGGAU